RNAcentral lists this transfer RNA (76 nucleotides) under Okeania hirsuta. Its description in RNAcentral is "tRNA-Thr". Lineage: Bacteria; Bacillati; Cyanobacteriota; Cyanophyceae; Oscillatoriales; Microcoleaceae. The record is from RNAcentral.
GCCGUCGUAGCUCAGUUGGUAGAGCGCGCCCAUGGUAAGGGCGAGGUCUCGGGUUCAAGCCCCGACGAUGGCUCAA